GAGCUCUGAUGUGGCUGGUCUGUUUCUUCUGGACUGGAGGGGUAGAGUGGGAGCUGGUGGGUGUUGGAGCUGGGGUGUGGCUGGUCUGUAUCUUCUGGACUGGAGGGGGUAGAGUGUGGGCUGGUGGGUGUUGGAGCUGGGGUGUGGCUGGUCUGUGCCGGUGCCGCUGUCAGUGGGAGGCUGCUCUGUGUGCUGGGAGGGAGGUGUGCAGCAGGCAGGGCUGGGGAGGCUUGGCUGGUGUAGGUGUGCUCUUCUGCUGUGUGAUGGCAGGUCAUAUAGUGUUGUUCUAGCUGCUCCUGCAGCCUGUCCUCUGUUCUCUUUCUCUCCUGCAGCCUGUCCUCUGUUCUCUUUCUCUCCUGCAGCCUGUCCUCUGUUCUCUUUCUCUCCUGCAGCCUGUCCUCUGUUCUAUUUCUCUCCUGCAGCUCCUCUCUUAGUGUGGUCAGAUCGUUAUUACUGUUCUGCCUGUGUUUUUGGAGCUCUCUCACUUCUUUUGUUAGAUCAGCCAGCUCUCUCUUGAGUCCAUCUCUCUCUUAGCUGAACCUCGUUCAGCUGUGUUGCAAGGCUGCUGUUCUGCUCUUGCUGUUUACACCUUGGUUAGGAGCUCCUCUAAGGUCUGGAUGUCUGGUUGCUGUUUACACCUUGGUUAGGAGCUCCUCUAAGGUCUGGAUGUCUGGUUGCUGUUUGCUCUCCCUCAGCAGGACCACCUCCCCCUCCAGUCUGGUGAACUCAUCCCUCAUGGCAGCUAUGGUGGUGAGGAGGGCCUGAGCCUGCUCUACACUGAGGGGGUUGCUCUCCUCCUGGGGCGUGUCCUCCACUAUGGUGGGAAGAGAGGUGCUGGAUGUGCUUUUUGGGUGGGGAUAGUAGGGGUGAGGGUGGUGCUGGUGGAGUUUGUCUUGUGGGAGGUCAACCCACUGGUGCUGUCCUUCUCUCUCUGCUCUCUCCUCAAACAGCCUAAGAUUACCUUGCACCAUGACAGUCCCAGUCUUGUAGAGGUUGAUUGUUGUCAUGGUGCUGUCAGGGUUGUCUUUCUCUUUGACUUUCAGCUCCAUCCAUUAC
Molecule: long non-coding RNA, 1056 nt
Filed under: Salmo salar (Atlantic salmon)
Lineage: Eukaryota; Metazoa; Chordata; Actinopteri; Salmoniformes; Salmonidae
Description: lncRNA (ENSSSAG00000098207.1)
Source: RNAcentral